RNAcentral lists this transfer RNA (73 nucleotides) under Sus scrofa (pig). It matches the Rfam family "tRNA". From Rfam's summary of the family: Transfer RNA (tRNA) molecules are approximately 80 nucleotides in length. Their secondary structure includes four short double-helical elements and three loops (D, anti-codon, and T loops). Further hydrogen bonds mediate the characteristic L-shaped molecular structure. tRNAs have two regions of fundamental functional importance: the anti-codon, which is responsible for specific mRNA codon recognition, and the 3' end, to which the tRNAs corresponding amino acid is attached (by aminoacyl-tRNA synthetases). tRNAs cope with the degeneracy of the genetic code in two manners: having more than one tRNA (with a specific anti-codon) for a particular amino acid; and 'wobble' base-pairing, i.e. permitting non-standard base-pairing at the 3rd anti-codon position. The record is from Rfam by way of RNAcentral. Lineage: Eukaryota; Metazoa; Chordata; Mammalia; Artiodactyla; Suidae.
UCCCUGGCGGUCUAGGGGUUAAGGAUUUGGCAUUGUCAUUGCUGUGACCUGGGUUCGAUCCCUGGCCUGGGAG